CAGGGAGGGGAGAGUGGAGACGGUGAAUCUCUAAUGACGUCCCUCUGUCUAGGAUCCCACUUUCCUCAGUGUUCUUGGGGCAGGAGCCGGUGUGCCUCGUAAGGGAUUAGGAGAAGGGGAAAUGUGAGGUCAUAAACCUCCUGAGGGCAAGUAAUGCCCUCCUGACAGAAAAGUGAAGAAGCCCAUUUGUUCAGAAGAAAAUGCCUCCCUGGGAGUUGCUCACCUCGCCAUAUGAAUUAUCUCCUCUUUAUUAGACCUAUGAAGAGGCCGAACAGGAAUACAACAGUGAAUAAGACAGAUGUCCCUGGCCUCACAAGACUAGUAAUUCAAUGGAGAAGACAGAAGUACUGAGUAAGUCAUUUGAGCUGUGAUGAGUGUUUGAAGAAUAGUGUUCUGCAAGUAUCUAGCAGGGAAAUCUAUGCCAGUUGGCCGUGGAGGAACAGGGAUGGAGUUUUACGAAAAUGAGAAAGAACUAAUCUUCAGCUCCUAGAGACGUUUAUCAAAAUAUACCUAGCUGGGCAGUCAUCAUACAGGACACGCAGCUUGACCUCGCUUCUCGGAAAAGCGAUCAUUCCACUGUGGGACCAUGGGCUGCUUCUGAGUUGUCACCAUUUAAGUAUCAGGAGGCUUCACAAAAACAAGUUUCCAGGAGGUCCUGAAAAUUCAGAUGUUCUGGUAACGCUGGGCCCACAUUCCUGCAAGGGAAAUCAGCUGGAUAUGCCCCAAAGGUGAGCACCGUGUCAUUGGAUCAUGUAUCUGUCUGGGUCUCAGCCACUCCUGGUCCUCCCUAGCAGCCAGUUUUGGAUAUCUAGAAACAACUUCCUCCUCCAACAUUUAUCUUCAAUGGAAUGGUGGAAGAGGAAACACAAAAAUCAGCUGGACCUAUCCUCUGAACUCCAAACUCCUGUAUCUGUCUUGACAGUCUCAGUUGGAUGUCUAACAGGCACCUCGAAUCUCACACGUCCACCCUGAGCUCCAGAUACUGCCCUCUCCGUACCCAGUUGGCUCUGCUCACAAUCUUCUGUAUCUCGGCAAAGGUCAGCUUCCCUUUCUACUUGCAAAGGCCACAGAACCUGGGAAUAAUCCUUGACCUAUCUCUA
Molecule: long non-coding RNA, 1100 nt
Organism: Herpailurus yagouaroundi (jaguarundi)
Lineage: Eukaryota; Metazoa; Chordata; Mammalia; Carnivora; Felidae
Exons: 8
Source: RefSeq, a predicted model, not a curated record